RNAcentral lists this microRNA (19 nucleotides) under Ornithorhynchus anatinus (platypus). RNAcentral describes it as "oan-miR-191-3p". Its record names the gene oan-miR-191-3p. Lineage: Eukaryota; Metazoa; Chordata; Mammalia; Monotremata; Ornithorhynchidae. The record is from miRBase by way of RNAcentral.
GCUGCAGUUGGAUUUCGUU